RNAcentral lists this long non-coding RNA (811 nucleotides) under Cottoperca gobio. Its description in RNAcentral is "lncRNA (ENSCGOG00000002247.1)". The record is from RNAcentral. Lineage: Eukaryota; Metazoa; Chordata; Actinopteri; Perciformes; Bovichtidae.
CCAGGAUCAACACAGAGAUAAACACAGAGAUAAACACAGAGGGCACAACCACGCCAGGAAACAUAGAAGACAUACCAACAAGUAACAAUGGGACACACAGGUGUGUAUAUAUACACAGACACUAAUCACAAGAACAGGACACAGCUGGAGGAGGCAAAGACAAGACGGCAGCAGGUGAUCAGACACAGAAGGAUCAAAUCAGGGCGGGGCAAACAAAUCAAAACACAAGGUGAGUGAGUGAAAGCCAGGAACAUGACAGGGAUUCUGUAUCCAGUAGUGCUGUUUGCAGAGACCAGGGAAGCAGUCCUGCAGCUGUAACUCUCAUUUCUCCUCCAAGCCAAAGGCCAGCCGGCUGACAGCCAACUUCCUUCCAAACCCAGUCCUUGGGAGUCUGUCCCCUUCCUCCUGGUUCGGCCAUGGUUUACACACUCCCCAACAUACUGGCUGUGGCCAUGGAGGGGUGGUGCCAAUGUGACGUCACGUGUGACAAUCCUGGAGGUGGAGAGAUCUCUUUAGGGCAGCUGGAAUGGAGGAGCACCGUAGAUACAUCCACAUAUACAGUGCAUAGCCGAUGUCAGGCUGUUUUCAAUGUGUGAUAGUGUGCAUGCUCUUCAUUGUAUCCUUUCAUAUACUAAAUAAAAUAUAUAAAUAAACUAAGUGAUGAUUUCAGUGUGGCAUUUUCAAAUGCUGUGAAUAUCAGAUAGAAUAUUUUUCAUUUAUUAUUAUAGUAUUGCAUGUGUGAACACGUCUCAAUUGUGCUGUUACAUUGUUACAAAACAAUAUAUUGUGUAAGUUGAGCAAUAAAUGUCAA